AUUGAACGCUGGCGGAAUGCUUUACACAUGCAAGUCGAACGGCAGCACGGACUUCGGUCUGGUGGCGAGUGGCGAACGGGUGAGUAAUGUAUCGGAACGUGCCCAGUCGUGGGGGAUAACGUAGUGAAAAUUACGCUAAUACCGCAUACGAUCUAUGGAUGAAAGCGGGGGAUGGCAAGACCUCGCGCGAUUGGAGCGGCCGAUAUCAGAUUAGGUAGUUGGUGGGGUAAAGGCCCACCAAGCCAACGAUCUGCAGCUGGUCUGAGAGGACGACCAGCCACACUGGAACUGAGACACGGUCCAGACUCCUACGGGAGGCAGCAGUGGGGAAUUUUGGACAAUGGGCGGAAGCCUGAUCCAGCCAUUCCGCGUGCAGGAUGAAGGCCCUCGGGUUGUAAACUGCUUUUGUACAGAACGAAAAGGUUUCUACUAAUACUAGGAGCUCAUGACGGUACUGUAAGAAUAAGCACCGGCUAACUACGUGCCAGCAGCCGCCGUAA
RNAcentral lists this ribosomal RNA (500 nucleotides) under uncultured bacterium. RNAcentral's name for it is "partial 16S ribosomal RNA". It matches the Rfam family "Bacterial small subunit ribosomal RNA", at positions 30 to 523 of the family's 1533-position model. The record is from RNAcentral.